RNAcentral lists this long non-coding RNA (1994 nucleotides) under Marmota monax (woodchuck). The record is from RNAcentral. Lineage: Eukaryota; Metazoa; Chordata; Mammalia; Rodentia; Sciuridae.
GAAAAAUUGUGCUCUAUAUGUGUAACAGGAAUUAUAAUGCAUUCUGCUGUCAUUUAUUUUAAAAAAUCAAUUGAAAAAAAAAAAAAAAAGCCAGCCUCAGCAAUUUAGGGAGGCCCUAAGCAACUCAGUAAGACCCUGUCUCUAAAUAAAAUACAAAAAGGGCUGAGGGUGUGGUUCAGUGGUUAAGUGCCCCUGGGUUCAAUCCCUGGUACCAAAACAAAAAAUUGGUGUGUCUCUCCCAAUAAAAGCAGUAAGAGCUGGGUUCAAAUCUUGUCUCUACCAUAAAUUAAUCCUGAGACCUUAGGCGACUGACUACUUUUUUUGGUACUGGGGAUUGAACCUGGUGCUUCACUGAACUGUAUCUCCAGUCCUUUUUAUUUUGAGACAGGGUCUCUAAGUGGCUGAGGCUGGCCUCCAAUUUGCUAUUCUCCUGCUAGGAUUUUAGGUAUGUACCACAACACCUAGCUCAAUGGACUACUUCUGAGAAAUUUAGUUCCUUUUCUUGUGAAAUGGGAUUAAUAAUAGUAUAUAUCUUUUUUGUCUGAUACUGGGGAUUGAACCUAGAAGCACUUAUUACUGAACUACAUCCCCAGACCUUUCUAUUUUUUAUUUUGAGACAGGAUUUCUCUAUGUUGCUGAGGGUCUUGCUAAGAUGCUGAGCUGGCCUCAAACUUUUGAUUCUCCUGCCUCAGCUUCCUGUGUCAGUGGGAUUAAGGUAUAGACCAACAAUAGUAUAUAUCUUAUUGCUAAAAGAUUACAAGAGAUGGUGCAACCAAUUUGGAAAACAGUUUUCCAGUUCCUCAGUGGUUAAACAGAGUUAAUGUUAUAACCCAGAAAUGCCUCUCUUAGGAAUUUCCACCCAAUAGAAAUGAAAAUGUAUGUCCACAGAAAAGCUUGUACCUAAAUGCUCAAAGCAGCAUUAUUUCUAGUAACCAAAAAAUGGAAAUAUCUAAAUGAUCAUCACUGAGGAAUUGAUAAACAAAAUGUACUAUAUCCAUGCAAUAAUGUUAUUAGCCAUAAAAAGGAAUGAAAUACUUCUGGGUAUGGUGGCACUCACCUGUAAUCCCAGAGACUAGGGAUGCUGAGGCAGCACGAUUGCAAGUUCAAGACCAACCUCAGCUAUUUAUUGAGGCCCUAAGCAAUUUAGCAAGACCCUAUCUCAAAACAAAAAAAUAAAAAUAUGCUGGGUGCAGUGGUGCACACCUGUAAUCCCAGCAGCUCAGUAGGCUGAGACAGGAGGACUGCAGGUUCAAAGCCAGCCUCAGCGACUGUGAGGUGCUAAGCAACUCAGUGAGACCCUCUCUCUAAUAAAAUACAAAAUUGGGGUAGGGAUAUGGCUCAGUGGUUGAGUGGCCCUGAGUUCAAUCCCUGGUACACCAAAUAAAUAAAUAAAUAAAUAAAUAAAUAAAUAGGCUGGGAAUGUAGCUCAGUGGUAAAGCACCUUUGGGUUUUAUUCCCAGUACCAAAUAAAUAAAAUAAAAAUAAAUGAAGUACUGAUAAGUGCUACAUGUGAACAGACCUUGGAAACAUUAAACAAAGAAUCUAAACACAAAAUCCACAUAUGAGCCAAGUGUGGUAGCAUAGCACACGUCUGUAAUCCCAGCAGCUCUGGAGACUGAGACAGGAGGAUGGCAGGUUCGAAACCAGCCUCAGCAACCUAGUGAGACCCUGUCUCAAAAUAAAAAAAGAGCUGGGAAUGUGGUUCAGUGGUUAAGUAUUCUUGGGUUUAAUCCCUGGUACAAAAAUCCACACAGGGUUGUUUAUAUGAAAUGUUCAAAGAAGGCAAAUCUAUAGAGAGAAAGUAGAUUAAUGGUUGCCAGGGACUGGGGAAGGAAGUUAAUGGGUAGGAGUAUGUUUUGGGGAUGAUAACAUUUUUAUGUUCUAAAAAUAAAGUGAUGGUUGUAACCACUUUAUGGUUGUAAAUAUGUUAAAAUCAUAGAAUUUUACGCUGUAAACAGGUGAAUUUAUGGUAUGAUAAUUAUAUCUCAAUAAAG